RNAcentral lists this long non-coding RNA (1523 nucleotides) under Mytilus galloprovincialis (Mediterranean mussel). Lineage: Eukaryota; Metazoa; Mollusca; Bivalvia; Mytilida; Mytilidae. The record is from RNAcentral.
GGGUCUCACUAAUUAGCGACAACAAGCGUCAAGAAGCGACAACAAGCGUCAACAAGCGACAAGAAGCGACAACAAGAAUUAUUUUAGCGACAAGAAGACUAUUUAGCGACAAGAAAACAUUUUUUUUUUAUUAGAUAUAAAUAAAUUUGUAUUUAAUGGUUUUUUUUAAAUAUACGAGCAGAUAUGUCUAAUUAAAAUGUUUUAUUAUAUAGAUAGACGAAGAAAGGAAACAUUUGUGAGGAAGAAAGAGAUUGUGAAGUUUAUAUUAGUAUAUUGGUAGAUGAAGAAAUUAAACAUUUGUGAAGAAGAAAGAGAUUGAGCUUCUUUUUUUUAUUUUUAAAUAUGAAGAAUAUGUAUAAGAUAAUGUAUGUAUCUGUUUUCAUCAAAGUCAAAGUAUGAAUAAACGAAUGGAGAUAUAUAUGGAGCGGGCAUAAUGGAAUAUAAUAUGUUGAUUCAUUUGCUUAAUACUAUGCUCUAAGUGUACUCUUGUUAUGUCAAUUCGAUGCUUUAUUUGUAGAACUCUCAGCCACGCUUUGCCAUCUUUAUUAUUUAAGCGUGUUUCCAGACCCCACGACGAGGACGUGGUUCUACCUUGGGGUCCAUAUAAUUUAUUUUUUUUCUUUUUUAAUUAUUUUUAGUCAUUAUAUAGUAAUAUGUACAUUCCUAUCUAACAUAAUAUUUAUACAUUUUGUACAUGGUGGUCCCAUUUUGAUAAGCCGUAGAUUUUUACCACUAAGGUUCACUGUAUUUUUGCCCUUUUUGAAGUUGUAGUUUUAGCAUUUUUAAUACGUUUCCGUUGGCAAGGUUUACGUGCAUAUGUACUUGUUUUGGGGAUUGUCAGCCCACCAUCUGUUGAAGUGGUGGACUCUGGGAUUGCGUUCAACUUUCUCCCAUGAGUCAAGAAUUUUUGCAAUGCAAAGCAAAAGCCUUUUCUUUCUCCGAUUUAAUCUGCCAUAGAGCUUUUGUGCAUUGAAAAUGGCUUACUGAGGAGCUUAGCUCAAAGUCUCCAUGUCCAUAAAGUGCGCCAUUGACAAGACUUUCUUGCAACUUUAUUUCUUUGUGAAUUUUAUUAAUUAACUCUGGAAGUUUCUCAGGCUUCCAAUCUUGAUUUAGUUUCAAGAUGUGAUUGAUUGAUUCACAAUUAUUGUUUUUCCAUUGCAAUGGAAUUCUCGACUCUGUUUUUCGAGCAUUGUACACGUAAUCCCUUAUAGUAGGAAUAACUUUUUGCGUAAGAUAUGGACCAACGAGGUCUUCAUAUUUUCUUUCAAUAUCAGUAACCUAAGUGGAAAAAUCUACCGUCGUAUCUGCUUCUAUCAGACCGUUAUCCCCAAAUAAGUCUGAUAAAAUUUGUUUUGCGUUCUUGUCAUUUACGCCAACCUUUGUUCUCAAAUGCCUUGUAACAUUUUCACUCUCAAGUGCCUUGUGCACAAUGUGAGUUCAGAUGUUGGAAAACUGUCUUUGAUAGCUUUUACUAAAGCCUUUUUCUCAUCUGAACCAAUCACAAGAUUGCUAUAACUAACCAA